Molecule: ribosomal RNA, 254 nt
Filed under: uncultured bacterium
Lineage: Bacteria
Description: partial 16S ribosomal RNA
Rfam family: Bacterial small subunit ribosomal RNA
Source: RNAcentral
CACGUAGGGUGCGAGCGUUGUCCGGAAUUAUUGGGCGUAAAGAGCUCGUAGGCGGUGUGUCGCGUCGGCCGUGAAAACCUGUGGCUUAACUAUGGGCUUGCGGUCGAUACGGGCAUCACUGGAGUUCGGCAGGGGAGACUGGAAUUCCUGGUGUAGCGGUGAAAUGCGCAGAUAUCAGGAGGAACACCGGUGGCGAAGGCGGGUCUCUGGGCCGAUACUGACGCUGAGGUGCGAAAGCGUGGGGAGCAAACAGG